Molecule: ribosomal RNA, 796 nt
Filed under: uncultured bacterium
Lineage: Bacteria
Description: bacterial SSU rRNA
Rfam family: Bacterial small subunit ribosomal RNA
Source: RNAcentral
AGAGUUUGAUCCUGGCUCAGAACGAACGCUGGCGGCGUGCCUAACACAUGCAAGUCGGAUGUGCCCGCAAGGGUGCAUGGCAGACGGGUGAGUAACGCGUAGGGAACCUACCUUUUUGUGGGGGAUAACGUUCCGAAAGGAAUGGUAAUACCGCAUGAGACCAUGGGCUGGGAUGUUCAUGGUGAAAGCCGGGGAUCGAAAGACCUGGCGCAAGAAGAGGGUCCUGCGUCUGAUUAGCUAGUUGGCGGGGUAACGGCUCACCAAGGCGACGAUCCGUAACUGGUCUGAGAGGAUGAUCAGUCACACUGGAACUGAGACACGGUCCAGACUCCUACGGGAGGCAGCAGUGGGGAAUAUUGGACAAUGGGCGAAAGCCUGAUCCAGCCAUGCCGCGUGUGUGAAGAAGGUCUUCGGAUUGUAAAGCACUUUAAGUUGGGAGGAAGGGUUGUAGAUUAAUACUCCGCAAUUUUGACGUUACCGACAGAAUAAGCACCGGCUAACUCUGUGCCAGCAGCCGCGGUAAUACGGAGGGUGCAAGCGUUGUUCGGAAUUAUUGGGCGUAAAGCGCGUGUAGGCGGUUUGUUAAGUCUGGUGUGAAAGCCCUGGGCUCAACCUGGGAAGUGCAUUGGAUACUGGCAAACUUGAGUACGGGAGAGGAUAGUGGAAUUUCGAGUGUAGGGGUGAAAUCCGUAGAUAUUCGAAGGAACACCGGUGGCGAAGGCGGCUAUCUGGACCGAUACUGACGCUGAGACGCGAAAGCGUGGGGAGCAAACAGGAUUAGAUACCCUGGUAGUCC